GGAAGGCGAUGGGUUAUAACCUUAUAAGGAGGAUAAUGAAACUUAGUGUCAUCCGGGAAGGUUGUAACCCCAUAGUACUCAACCAAUGAGGAACUAGGGGAGGGACUUGCGUACCGGAGAUAAAUUACCUGUUGUGACUGACCCAGGUGCGUCGUCCCAGACACCCGAUGUUACAAGACCGUUAUAAAAAGUCUCAUUUUCACUGUUCUUCGUGCCUCUAAGUCCAUUCUUUGGGUUUGAACGGGUGAGUGUGUUUCUCACAACCUGAGGGCCCGUUCGGGAUCUCUGUGCCUACGUGGAGUGGGACUCCGGCUGAGAGAAGAGACAUGUCCCACCCGAUUUUUGUGCCCCACUCUGUCUGGGUGUCCUGGCUCCCCACAGAAGCCAUAGAUAAACCCGAGACUGUUAUUCAGGAGACGGUGGAGGUGACGCAGGGAGAAAAGCAGGCACUGCGGCAAACAGGCAACCUCGUGCACCAGCCAAGGUUGGGUAUUUCCUUCAGCCUAUUAAAGGAAUUGGGAACCUGUGGUACCGGAGAAAUAGCCUGCAGACCAGAGAAUAAGGAAAAGUUGUUUCCUGCCAAAGAACAAGCAGUAUUGUGAAAUAUAAAAUUUUAUUGUUGCGGUGAAAGAAAAUUUCAGUAUCAAAUUUUUGAAAACACCAUGUAAGAGAUGCCUGCUUUCCCUUCACCUUCCGGCAUGAUUGUAAGUUUCCUGAGGCCUCUCCAGACAUGCUUCCUGUACAGCCUGUAGAACUAUUCUGACACCUCCACUUCACACAAAACACUCCACUUUAGAGUUCCUUGGCCCCUUAAAGCAUUGCAUGCUACUCCCUCAAACCUUUUUCUGGUAUCAACAACACAUCUUGGCUGGUGGAAACUGCUUAAUAACAUUUGCAUGAAAAUGUGUUUAGUCAAGGUACCCUUUUCUCCUCUGGCCAAAUAUCAGCAUUCAAUCUAAUACAAAACACUUGAAUUCUCUCUGGCAGAAAAUGCAAUCCUGAGGGAUACGACAAAAAAAAAUAAAAGCUAUUUUCUGCCUGAUUAAUCUGUUCAUUAGCUUCUAAUUUCUAGAUCCCUGUAGCUACAAAAUGCCUGUCCUUCAGAGACUUAGGCCAAUUUUGCCUAUAAGCCUAUGAGUUAGCAUAUGUCUUCACAGUAUCUUGGAGUGGCUGGAGGUAGAGUGAUAUAUUAGCCAGAACUGGAGUCUGUUAUUUGCAACCAAGAUACCUAAAUAAUAUUAUUAAAAAGUAUAAUAUUGACCAAAAUAUAGAUUUCUAGGACAAAUUUGUACAUUCAGUGAAAGGAAAAGCACAGUUAAAAUCUGUAUAGUUUCAAUGAAAGACUCAUCCUCUUCGGUUUGGUUUGGGGUGCCUUUAUACUUAGGAUUUCUCUGCUCAAUCUUUCAUUUCUACUACCAAGUGCAAUAAUAUAGGUUAAGAAUCUUUAUUGGACUGGGAAGGAAGUACCCACUCCUUGAUUAUCCCUUUAUCCAGGCUUGUAAACUAAGGCAAAACCGGGCCUUGACACAAAGAAAAGAAGGAAUGAAGAAAGCUGUUUUAUAUUUUUUCUUAGUUAAAUCAUGAAACUCAAAACUAAAAAAAAAAAAAAAGUCUCCUGGGCCCACACUUGCUUAAUGCAAAAUCAGAAAAUGUACGGAACUCCAAACAAAUGCUAGCAAUCCACUGAAAUCAUCAUUUGAAUUAAAACUAUAUUUAGUCUUCAUAAGCCUAACACAGUUCACAUUAAAUUUCAAAGGUGACUCCUAAUUACACAUAUGCAAUCUUACAAAUCAAUAGAGAAAUUCAGGCAAUCCCAUAGAUGUAUGAGAAAAUGAAUUGGAUAGGCCUUUUAUAAAAUGUAAUAUCCAAAUGGCCAAUGAACACAGAAAAUGUGAUUAUUUUAUUGGUCAUAAAAAUACAAAUUAAAACUAUAAUAUCCUACAAAUCUAAUGUAAAGCAAGGUGACUAUUGUGAAUAAUACUGUAAUGUAUACUUGAAAUUUGCAAGAGUAGGUAUUAAAUGUUUUCAUCUUUCCCCCAAAAUUGAUACCAAUGUAAGAUGGUGGAUAUUUUAAUUAGCCUGAUUGUGGUAAUCAUUUAGCAAUGCAUACAUAUACAAAAACAUCGUGUUGUACACCUUAAAUAGGUAUAAUUUUUUUUUUUUUUUUUUUGAGACGGAGUCUUGCUUUGUUGCCAGGCUGGAGUGCAGUGGUGCGAUCUCCGCUCACUGCAACCUCCGCCUCCUGGGUUCAAGCGAUUCUCCUGCCUCAGCCUCCUGAGUAGCUGGGACUACAGGCGUGCACUACCACGCCCAGUUAAUUUUUUGUAUUUUUAGUAGAGGCGGUGUUUUACCAUGUUGGCCAGUAUGAGAUACAGUUUUUAUUUGGAAUUAUUAUACCUCAAUAAAGCUGAGAGAGAGAAACCUAUAAUAUUCUACUAUUACACAGCUGUUAGGAUUGCUAAAAUGAAAAUGAGGAAAAUAAGAAGUAUUGGCAAGGAUAUGGAGCAACUUAAAUUCUCAUAUGUAGCUGAUAGAAAUGUAAAACUGAUAGGCAGAAUAUGUUAAAAGGAGUGUAUAAAUAUACUGUAACUCAAUAAUUUUACUACCAGUUAUGUUCUCAUGUAAAUAUGUAAUAUGUUCUCAAAAUGUUAUAUACAGGGAUUUUAAAAGUGACACUACUUAUACUUGCCCAAAAGGAAACCAAUACAAAUGUUAUCAAAAACACAUUGAUACAUAAAUUGUAUUACAUUUAUACAACAAAAUAAUACUUUACCGCAAUGAAAAUGGAUAAACUACAAUUACAUACAACCAUAUGGAUGACUCUCAACUGCAUAGUGUUAAAUGAGACAAGUCAAUUCAAAAAGUACAUGUAUAUUGGAUGAUAUCAUUUGCAUAAUAUUCAAAAACUAAUUAUGAGGCUACAAAUCAGAAUACUGGUAAGGCUUGGGGAGAGCAGUAUUGAGAAGAGGGAAGGAGAGAGUGUGCAGUUUCUGGAGAAGUUCUGUUUCUUGUUCCUCUUGCCAGUUACACCAUUGAAUUCAUUUAGUGAAAAACUUAUCAAACAACCUACUUUUUAUUGGUGUACUUUUCUAGGCACAUGAUGUACUUGGAUAAAAUAUUUACUGUAAAAAUAAGUGGCUGAAAUAAAAAUCAGUGUUACAGAUCUUGAAUAUUUCCUGUGAAGAGACAAAGCUUACAUGACAUUAGUGAGCAAAAAUUUGUUUACUUGUAAUAUUGUACCAAUUAUUAAAAACACUUCCCAUAUCUCAUCUACUGUCUAUCUUUCCUUGAUAACCCUUAGUGCAGUGAAAUAAAAUCUUAGUAAUCAAUUAUUGUUGGCUGAUGCAAAAAGGACAGAAUUAGUUCUAAG
This 3370-nucleotide long non-coding RNA is filed under the name Homo sapiens (human). RNAcentral's name for it is "HSALNT0090690". Lineage: Eukaryota; Metazoa; Chordata; Mammalia; Primates; Hominidae. The record is from RNAcentral.